Molecule: unclassified non-coding RNA, 192 nt
Filed under: plant metagenome
Description: partial contains small subunit ribosomal RNA, internal transcribed spacer 1, and 5.8S ribosomal RNA
Source: RNAcentral
UUUCCGUAGGUGAACCUGCGGAAGGAUCAUUAGUGAUUUGGCCGAAAGGCCUUUAUCCAAUCCUCACACCUGUGAACACUUUGUCGGUCGGGACCCUGGUCUCGGCCGGACAAACCAUACAAUACUAUGUGUCAUGAACGUGAUGUAUUACAAAACAAAACAAAACUUUCAACAACGGAUCUCUUGGCUCUC